CCUACGUGAGGCAGCAGUAGGGAAUCUUCCACAAUGGGCGAAAGCCUGAUGGAGCAACGCCGCGUGGGUGAAGAAGGUCUUCGGAUCGUAAAACCCUGUUGUUAGAGAAGAAAGUGCGUGAGAGUAACUGUUCACGUUUCGACGGUAUCUAACUAGAAAGCCACGGCUAACUACGUGCCAGCAGCCGCGGUAAUACGUAGGUGGCAAGCGUUAUCCGGAUUUAUUGGGCGUAAAGGGAACGCAGGCGGUCUUUUAAGUCUGAUGUGAAAGCCUUCGGCUUAACCGGAGUAGUGCAUUGGAAACUGGGAGACUUGAGUGCAGAAGAGGAGAGUGGAACUCCAUGUGGAGCGGUGAAAUGCGUAGAUAUAUGGAAGAACACCAGUGGCGAAAGCGGCUCUCUGGUCUGUAACUGACGCUGAGGUUCGAAAGCGUGGGUAGCAAACAGGAUUAGAUACCCGUGUAGUC
Molecule: ribosomal RNA, 465 nt
Filed under: uncultured bacterium
Lineage: Bacteria
Description: partial 16S ribosomal RNA
Rfam family: Bacterial small subunit ribosomal RNA
Source: RNAcentral